RNAcentral lists this ribosomal RNA (490 nucleotides) under uncultured bacterium. RNAcentral's name for it is "partial 16S ribosomal RNA". It matches the Rfam family "Bacterial small subunit ribosomal RNA", at positions 28 to 507 of the family's 1533-position model. The record is from RNAcentral.
GAUGAACGCUAGCGAUAGGCUUAACACAUGCAAGUCGAGGGGCAGCAUGGUCUUAGCUUGCUAAGACUGAUGGCGACCGGCGCACGGGUGCGUAACGCGUAUGCAACUUGCCUCACAGAGGGGGAUAACCCGUCGAAAGACGGACUAAUACCGCGUACACUUGGGAUAGGGCAUCCUGACCCAAGGAAAUGAAAUUCGCUGUGAGAUAGGCAUGCGUCCCAUUAGCUAGUUGGUGAGGUAACGGCUCACCAAGGCGACGAUGGGUAGGGGAACUGAGAGGUUGAACCCCCACACUGGUACUGAGACACGGACCAGACUCCUACGGGAGGCAGCAGUGAGGAAUAGUGGUCAAUGGGCGAGAGCCUGAACCAGCCAAGUCGCGUGAAGGAUGACUGUCUUAUGGAUUGUAAACUUCUUUUAUACGGGAAUAACAAGAGUCACGUGUGGCUCCCUGCAUGUACCGUAUGAAUAAGCAUCGGCUAACUCCGUG